AUUCAACUAAUGAGUCUCAAAUAGGACGAAACGCGCUUCCUAGAU
Molecule: non-coding RNA, 45 nt
Filed under: Trichobilharzia regenti
Lineage: Eukaryota; Metazoa; Platyhelminthes; Trematoda; Strigeidida; Schistosomatidae
Source: RNAcentral